UUUUCUGAUUAUAAUUUCUCUCGCUCUUCCACUCUAUUCUUCAUAUUUUCAAACUACAAUCAUCACAAUCUCUAAUCUCUACACACCCAUAGGAAAUUUUAGAAAUAUAGACACCCAUUAUUUUUUGAGAAACCAGACCACCCACCUUGUAGAUUUGAGAGAGGAGGCGUGUGGAGAUGAGCAUUGCAAGCGCUGCUGCUGCUGCUCAUGCGCUUGCUGCUGAUGACGAUGAUGCUGUCCCCACCCCCAACACAUAGCAACUCCAUCACAGACGUCCGUUCCCCAUCCCGCGCACGGAGCAGCCGUCGAUGGCGCCACAGCCGCAUCACCACCCUCAUCAUCGCCAUCCUCUCCCUCUUCCUCGCCACGUCAGCCUGGCUCUCCCUCGUAUUCUCCAACGCCAGCUGGCACCACCGCCUCCACGGCUGGGAGGGCAGCCCCCUCCUCCAUCACCACCGUUCAUUCCCCUCCGGGUCCCACCUAUCCGACGCCUCUCCGCCACCCCCGGCCGAACCCGUGGGCCCCGCCGAGGAACUCUCCUUGAAGCACAUCGUCUUCGGCAUAGCCGGCUCCGCCCACCUCUGGAAUCGCCGCAAGAACUUCGUGAAGCUCUGGUGGCAGCCCGGCGCCAUGCGCGGGCACGUCUGGCUUGAGGAGACGCUCCUUGACCCUAUCCCGGAUUCCGAGGCUGGAUCCCUGCCGUCGAUCCUCGUCUCCGAGGACAUCUCCCGGUUCCGCUACACCAAUCCCACCGGCCACCCGUCCGGCCUCCGGAUCUCGAGGAUCGUUGCGGAGUGCUUCCGCCUCGGCCUCCCCGACGUGCGAUGGUUCGUCCUCGGUGACGACGACACUAUCUUCAACACCGAAAACCUCGUCAGUGUCCUCCGCAAGUACGACUACCGGGAGAUGGUCUACAUUGGAGGGCCGUCCGAGAGCCAUUCUGCAAACACCUACUUCAGCCACUCCAUGGCAUUCGGCGGCGGUGGGAUCGCCAUCAGCUACCCGCUCGCCGAGGCCCUCUCAAAGAUACAGGAUGAGUGCCUCGAGCGCUACCCGAAGCUGUAUGGCAGUGAUGACCGCCUCCAUGCCUGCAUUACCGAGCUCGGCGUCCCUCUCACGCGUGAAUAUGGCUUCCAUCAGUGGGACAUUCGUGGAAGCCCCCAUGGCCUGUUAUCCGCCCACCCAAUUGCCCCUUUCAUCUCAAUCCACCAUGUUGAAGCUGUGGACCCCUUCUACCCAGGGUUGAAUUCACUCGACAGCUUGAAGCUUUUUAUGCAGGCGAUGAAAGCUGAUCCGAGGAGCUUCUUGCAGCGGGCCAUCUGCUAUGAUCGCUCGCAGCGGUUAACGUUCUCGGUCUCGUUGGGUUAUGUCGUUCAGGUGUUCCCGAACAUUGUGCUGCCACGGGAGUUGGAGCGGUCGGAGCAGACUUUUUCAGCUUGGAACAAGCUUAGUAAUAGGAAUGAGUUUGAUUUUGAUACAAGGGAUACUUAUCGAUCCGUUUGUAAGAAGCCCAUUAUGUUUUUCUUGAAAGAUGUUAUGAGGGAUGGGAAUGUGACAGUUGGUUCCUAUGGUCGGGGGAAAGGGAGAGACGAUUUGAAGAGGAAGGUUUUCUGCUUUCCGCGGUCGGUUCCGCUGUGGGGCGUAAAGGAUAUUCGGGUGUUGGGGAAUCCACUUAGCGAGAAUUGGCAUUUGGUGCCAAGGCGACUCUGCUGCCGAGUUAACCAAACAAGUGAUGAACAGCUGGAAGUAACAGUCAGGCAAUGUGAAAGGGGAAUUUCUGGGUCGGUUGUGGAUUCUGUGUGACUACUGAUGGAAGGAAGACAUGAUUUAACUUGAAUAUGAAGUUCAUAAUUGCAAAGGGCCUUCUUUUCAUAUGCUUCGAUUCUUUCAUUUCAUCCUCUGAUUGGGACCCACAAGUCAUGAGCCAUUUCUGCGCAUAUCUAAAGGCUAAAAGGAAGGAUCAUGGAUACCUGAAAGUAGUUUCUAAUGUACACAGUUGAGUUGAAAGACAUUGAGUGCACAUACUUUGAGCUCAGGAAAUUACAUUCUUUGCCUUCGCUUUUGGUUCAGAAGGUUUAAGCAAAAUCCUUGAGGAAUGAACAGUCAGCUUGUAUCUCCCAGCGUAUCGAAUAUGAUGAUAUACAAUGACAGACAUGUUUCAAAGAGUUGUUGAUCCCCCGUGUUUGUCAUUGUCCCAAGGUAAUUUGAUGACUUAGCUGAGACAUGCCCACAAAGCUUUUGUUCCUCUCCGAUUUCCUUCUUAUCAAAAUUUUUGAACAGUUCUAAAACUUGGAGACCCACAAAGCUGGUUAUCGAAUUAUUAUUAUUGUUGUUGUUGUUGUUAAUAAUACUAUUUGUUGCUGUUGUUGUUGUUGUUGUUAUUAUUAUUAUUUCCUCUCUAGUUGUUUUGUUGGUAAGAUCGAGAGAUUUGCCUUGACAUACAAAUUUCUAACCUCAUCAAUGUGUUAGGCAACAUUGAUUGAACAUGCUCGAGGACUUGGUUAAAGCUAGUUCCCUAGUAUCUAGACUGACCUGAAACCCUCAAGUGUAAACCCUUAGUCACUGGUCUUGAACCCUGAUGGACGGAAGUCAAUUGAUCAUCAACAACCUUUCUAUGAGCAAGUUAGACCUGUGUGUCUUUAAGGGGGAGAGGGUGUUGAAUUGGCUGCGCCCUCAAGUCCUAGAGCACGGUUUCAUAGAUCAGGACUGGGAGCAUGACCUGGGCUGUCAAGUCAUUAUGGACGGGACCUCUGACGCUUUUAUCAAACACUUAACGCUGUCUGACCAGAAGUUUUCUUCCAGAGCAUGAGCACCCAUAGUUCAAUGCCAAUAGAAAGGAGGUAAGAACUCUUUCCAUCCUUUCCAGGGUUUGUGAUGAAAAAAGGUUGGAAGUGAUUCCACUUGAUGCUCAGAACAUUGUCACAGUUUUGCUAAGCCCAAAUGCAGGUCGCAGACAACUCUUCAAGUGUCCACUUGUCAGGUGGACCUCUCUGUGUAGAUGACCUAGCUGAAGAAUCUGGCUUUCAACUCAUCAGGUGGGCCACGGGUAUGAAAACGGUAGGAUGAUUUUAAAGCAGCAACAAGCAGUCUAUGUUCAAUGCACAGGCAUGGGCAGACUAUCUACAUUUGAGGGCCCACCUGAUGCAUGGCUUGGCUGUUGCAACACGUGCCAACCAUGUGGGUUUUGCAUCAAGAGCUUAGCAAAAUGCCUUUUUGUCUCUGGAAAUUUUUAGACUUGGUUUUGCUAAUUAGGUGUGGGGUUGGACACACUGCAGAAUUAGGAGAGUGAGCAUUCCUCUUAGCUCUAUCAUCUUCAACAGUAAAAUUUUGAACCUUCCACAUCAUUAUCAUCAUCUCAAAUUGGAUACAUUUGAAGCGAAACAAGCGUCCAUAGUCUCACAUGGAGUUUCCCCACCAAUCAAGGAGCACGAAACUUCAGUGCCCUGAAACUCUUGAAAUGAGGCUGAUCAGACAACAGUUAUAAAGAUGAGUGGCCUGCCCAAGGUUGUGUCCACCUUGGUGCAUGCUAUGACUUUGUGAUUGCUAUCAUGUAGAAGAAUUGGUAAACACUACGUAGGCAGUUCUAAUGGAGUUAUGAGCUACCUUUACACUGCUCCAGUUGUAGAAGAGAGAGAGAGAGAGAGUCUCUGACUGCUUUCCUGAAAUGGAGACAUUAGAAGCCUACUCCAAAACUUCUCAUUUCGUGAGGACUCAAGAUUUAGAAGGAUUAUGAUUGGAAUGUUUUGAAACAUCAAAAUUCAUUUGACCAGUCUAGAUAGGUAGAAUCAAGCAAGUGGACAUGGAAAAAGUAAAUGCUUUGUAUGUGAUUUGGCACUUAUGAAAAAUGGAUUCCAUUUUUAGGGUUCA
This is an RNA transcript of Magnolia sinica, 3867 nucleotides long. RefSeq lists it as uncharacterized. The record is from RefSeq and is a predicted model, not a curated record. The transcript is spliced from 6 exons. Lineage: Eukaryota; Viridiplantae; Streptophyta; Magnoliopsida; Magnoliales; Magnoliaceae.